RNAcentral lists this ribosomal RNA (528 nucleotides) under Companilactobacillus versmoldensis. RNAcentral's name for it is "bacterial SSU rRNA". It matches the Rfam family "Bacterial small subunit ribosomal RNA", at positions 60 to 556 of the family's 1533-position model. Lineage: Bacteria; Bacillati; Bacillota; Bacilli; Lactobacillales; Lactobacillaceae. The record is from RNAcentral.
ACUCUGGUAACUGAUUUUUGAUGCUUGCAUCAAAAUGAAGAUACAUUUGAGUGAGCGGCGGAUGGGUGAGUAACACGUGGGUAACCUGCCCUAAAGUGGGGGAUAACAUCUGGAAACAGGUGCUAAUACCGCAUAACAACAAUUUCCACAUGGUCAUUGUUUGAAAGAUGGUUCUGCUAUCGCUUUAGGAUGGACCCGCGGCGUAUUAGCUAGUUGGUGAGGUAACGGCUCACCAAGGCGAUGAUACGUAGCCGACCUGAGAGGGUAAUCGGCCACAUUGGGACUGAGACACGGCCCAAACUCCUACGGGAGGCAGCAGUAGGGAAUCUUCCACAAUGGACGAAAGUCUGAUGGAGCAACGCCGCGUGAGUGAAGAAGGUUUUCGGAUCGUAAAACUCUGUUGUUGAAGAAGAACAUGCGUGAGAGUAACUGUUCAUGUAUUGACGGUAUUCAACCAGAAAGCCACGGCUAACUACGUGCCAGCAGCCGCGGUAAUACGUAGGUGGCAAGCGUUAUCCGGAUUUAUUG